Molecule: long non-coding RNA, 1507 nt
Filed under: Homo sapiens (human)
Lineage: Eukaryota; Metazoa; Chordata; Mammalia; Primates; Hominidae
Description: small nucleolar RNA host gene 17
Rfam family: Small nucleolar RNA SNORA71 (bases 3-136)
Source: RNAcentral
GCUCCUGCAUCCGAAAGUGAUCAUAGGCUGCCUGUGCCUAGGUCAUUGAUAGUGCAGGGAGAGGAACGCUGAAAGAGGUUGUCCCCGUGUUUGGAGGGUCCACCCUAUCCCAUCCGAACCCUGAAGCUUUCACACAACUCCUGUUGCUCUCCUGCCAGCCCUUGAGGAGUCCGGCGCUUGCUUGGCUGCCACAUGAAAGUCAGUGCGGGGGGGCAUCAUGCUUAAGUCUUUCUCAGCUUGACCUCUCUUUGCAGAAACCAGGCUCUGUGUUCUGAGGGGUAGAUCAGGAAGGGAAUGUGAUAUGUAAUGAGUCAUGGUGUGUCGCAGUGGAUAGCACAGUUUCGAAUAAGUGCAAUAUUGGCAUAUAAACAUGAGGGAGACUUUGAGGUUGGGGUGAGCAGGGCUGACCCCGUGUGUGUGUGUGUGUGUGUGUGUGUGUGUGUGUGUGUAUGUGUAACUUGGGGACAGGAUAGGGUAGCAUCUUUACAUCUUUACAUGUCAUUGGCCUGGAAUAGGGGGUCCUGAAGGGUUUGUCGUAAGAAAGAGAAAGUGCUCAUUGCUGCAAGGGGAGCACAGCCGGGUUCUGAGAGGCAAAACACUUCCCUCACUUCCCACCCAAGAGUUUCGCCUGUUCUCUCGACCCUCUGAGGUGUGCAUUGGUGUCACUCACUGGCCACCAUUCCAGCUCUUAAUUCCUCUGCCUUUUGUGCUGGCCUUUGGGGCUCCCCUGAGGAUGACUGGUUCUCAGGUUGCCCCUGGAGGAAUGGGUGGAGUUGUAAGAUCAGGAAUAAAGCUAGAGAGGGAGGACCAAGGGGAAGUCACUGAUGCAGCCGCCGUCUAGCCCAUCCCACCCCGAUUGAGAGGUCGCUUUUUCCUGUUGAACAUGUUGGAUAGUGGAAUGUGUUAUAAGAAGUGAUAUGUGUGGCUUCUUGUCAUUGCAGGAUUGUCAGCUGACCUCUGUCCUGUGUGCCCAGUGGCCCCAGGUGACGUGUCUUCAAGAAGAGGCUGAGCUGCGGUGCUUGUAAGAUGGGUCUGCUGUGUGCAGAGGCUCCAUGGGAUGUGUUGUCUUCAUAGUAGCAGGGCGCUGGACCAUGGGUCCGCAAGGUCUCAGCCUUAGAUCCAAGGACAGUCCAAGGAAGUCCUAAGACCAUGGAGUUGGUGAUCUGGGAUCUGGGUUUGCUGAUAUUUCUCACCGUGAAUCUCUUGGUGGUGUUUGUGGGCACGAGAGGGGCAGAGAAUGGAGAGUGAGGCUACCACAUGAAGCGUCACCAGAGCUGCUCCCUGCUGCCUGCUCAGAGCACCCCGGAUCCACUGUUCAAUCUGCACAAGAUUCGGGGUCCAGACAUGGGAGACUUCAGCUGCCUCAGAGGACCGUGGACAGGGAAGGCCAGCCUCGCAUCCCUCUGUCCAUGCCUGGAAUGACUUUAAUAACCAAGAGUUUUAUUUUUGAAUUUGUAGCUGUCGUUCACUUUUUACCCACCCAUUCAAUAAACCUUACAGAAUUGCU